UCGGUACGACAACCACAGUGUCCCGUCUCUCUCGCCCCGACCUGUCCAUCUCCCGCGAUCUGGAGGGGCCGGCGGCGCGGCGGCGCGGCGGCAGGGGCGGAUGGACAGCGGCAGCGCAACCAGCCGAGCAGAUCAAGGACACGUGAUUCUCCCUCACUCCCCCCUCCCCAACCGGCGGCAGAGAGACCAGCCGAGCGGCGCGGGGUAGACCCGGAGACCCCACCUCCGUCCGAGCUCGGCGUCGCCCGUGAGAGGUCAUCUCUCGCGCCCUCUCCAUCUCCGGAUGCUUCGCACUGGAGAAAGGCAUGACAUGAUGAUGAAGCUAUUUUAGAUCUUGUCGUCUGUCACAAUUUUCUUUCGAUGUCCAGCUUAUAUGAUCGAUGGGGAGAUCAAGGAUGAACCAACUAGAUGUCCAGCUUAUCUUAUGUUUGAUCAGAUGCCUAGCAAGUUAUUUUGGCCAGGCGUUUUGCUAUUUAGUCAAGAAUAUAUGUGGUGUAAUAUUGGCAAAAAAACUGCUAAACUUGUCUUUGGUUCAGCCAUGUAGUGCAAGCUGGCUUGGUUUA
Non-coding RNA from Lolium perenne, 563 nucleotides. The record is from RefSeq and is a predicted model, not a curated record. NCBI's taxonomy places the organism in Eukaryota, Viridiplantae, Streptophyta, Magnoliopsida, Poales, Poaceae.